Long non-coding RNA from Leopardus geoffroyi (Geoffroy's cat), 5452 nucleotides. RefSeq lists it as uncharacterized. The record is from RefSeq and is a predicted model, not a curated record. Lineage: Eukaryota; Metazoa; Chordata; Mammalia; Carnivora; Felidae. The transcript has 3 exons.
UUGCCUCACGGCUCUUGGGGCUCUGCACCGUGCUGUUCUGGGGCCAGGAACCUUCGGUCUCUGGCCUUGCAGGAUCCUUCCUCUAGGGUUCGGAGCUGUAGGGUGGGACACAGCUCCACAUCUCCACCUGCCCUAGGCAAUUUGCCCCACACCUCAGCUUUCCGGGGCUGUUCAGUGACCUCAGACCUUGUAAGGUUAGAGAACAGAGUUGGAGCCUCUUGGGCUGGGCUCCAUCCCCAGGACUAGAAAGGAGAAGCCUGGAGCCUCAUUUAGGGGGACAUCUUGGGGGCCACUCCAAGGCCUCACGACCCUAUACCGUGACAAGGACCUGUGGAGCUCCCAGUUAAGCAGCACCCCCACCCCUCCGUGGAGGGACAGCUCUCUCGCUAAUGGAGCGUGAAGGGAAAUAAACAUACUUCUUGCCAUGCGCCAGCAGGCCCCGACAGGAGCCCUGGGUGGUGGUGAAGGUGGCCUGUGUCUAUGGUUUGCUGUGAUGUUCAUCUGCUUUUUUAGUGGAAAAGCCCACAGGUUGUGGUGCUGAUGUGAGCAGGACACCCCAGUGUUCUCUCUCACUUGCUGUGACAAGGCCCUAGCUAUAUUUUUGGAAACAAAUAGUAAAUCCUUCCCCACCGUUGCUGCAUCCGCCACCGUUGCUGGGAAGAGGGCCCUCCCCGGGCAGCCGUCUUCCUCCUGCCACACCUUUGCCCGGGCCCAGGAGCUGCCCAAGCCUAUCUGCUCACGGUCUUGCCAGGGACACAGUUGCCAUCCAGUACUUGCCCCAAUACCAGUACAGACUGGUUCGGUCCGCCAGGAGCCCUGGCACCUGCACUUUAAGCUCCUGGCAGUUUCGUCUCCUAGACGAAGCCCGCCCUGCCCUGCCCGGCUUGCCUGGGAGAGGGGCUGAGCCGGUGCCGAGGGAGGGCCUGUUGGGGGGCUCUGUGCCCCCUGCCUCUCAUUUGUGUGGGUCCUUUUAUGCUCCUCCGGCUCUCAGGCUCCUACAGCCUGGUACCGUGACAUCCAGCACCCAGGUGCUGCCACAAACCUAUGGCUACCAGAGGUGGCAAAGAGGCUGGGGAGGGGGUGACUGGAGAUGAGCCAUUGCCCCAUUGUUUUUAGGGAAAGACUUGGGACCCAGAGCAGGCCUGCUUGACAGGGCUGCACAGCAGACACAGAGCCCUGUGUGUUUGCUCCCCGCUUCACACCGUGGCCCAGAACCAGGGCUCUCCUAGCACCUGCUGCUCGACCUUUGUUCCCAGCGCUUUUGAUGCGGUAGGGGGGACGGGGGACGGGGAGCGGCGUGUCUCUAGCUGUUUAACUCUCAGGGCAGCUGGAAACCCAAGCAUGGUAGCGUCUGGCCGACAUACCGUUGUACCAUUUAGCUUCAGAGCCCUUUCUGCCCAGUUGCCCUGUUGGUUCUCACCAACUGUUCUAGAAUGGGGGUGUUGUUGAUCUCAUCUUACAGAAGAGGAAACUGAGGCUCAGGGAGGGUAGGAGCGUGGCCGAGGUCACGUGGCUGUUUCCUUGACAGUGAGGUCCCUCCCCUGGUAUGUCACGUGCCAGACUCGACUGACUCGCUCCGGGGUCCCCGUGCGUGGCAGGAGCAGGGUGUCCCGUGGCUUAGAGGAGCUCGUCCAGGUGGCCAUCCUCUGGGUCCCCUGGAGCAGGCCCUAAGAGAGUGUUAUGACAUUUGGGCUCUGUCCGAGGGUGGGUACCCGCCGGGGGGGGAGGGGGGGCUCAGUCACUUACAGCAGUGGCAGAGAGAACAAGAUAAAGGACGGCAAUACGACACGAGCGGGAGAUUUAUUAAUGCAAUGGGGGGAAAUCGCGAGGCCUCCAGAAUCAGCUCCUUAAUCAAAUUUGCUAACAACUGAGAUCAUUACCAUACUGACGGCUUAAUUAAUGGUGUCUUAAUUAAGGUGAGCCCCUUUCAGACUGUAACUACACUUAACAGGGUAACCACCGUCUUACGGGCAUGUCACAUCCUGCUGCUUGAACACGGAAAGCUGGGGCUACAGGGAGUUCGCACUGAGUGUGAAAUUCACAGCUUCUGGGGGGUUGGGGGCUGAAGUGGGGCGCCUCCUGCUCAUUCAUUCAUUCACUCUGGCUGGAACUUCUGUGACCCCUCACCUGACAUUCCUCUAUUCCUUCUCUGCCCAGCACUGUCUCCAUCUGCCCGCUGCCGUUGGUUGAUUGGUUCACCUGCUAGAACGUACCAGGGCAGAGAGGUUGACAGUGUGUUAGCUGCUGCUACCCUAGCAUCUAGAAAAGCACAGGCAUAUAGUAACUGCUCAGUAAAUCUCUGUUGAAUGAAUGAAUUAUGGAUCUGCAGCGGGCACUGCCCUAAGCAGUGGGGCACAUUGCUGAGUAAUAGAUAGUUUCUGCCUUCUGGGAGCCUGAAGGCCGGUGGGCGAGACAGACAUGAACAGACACUCUCAAUACACAGUGCCAAGGGCCGGGACAGGAAGACGACUCGGCAAUGGGGAGGGUCACUGCAUCCUACAGCAGGCAUGUAGUGUGAAUGGGAAUUUUCCAGGUGGUCAAGGAGGGACGAGCACUCCAGGUACACAAAUGUCAGGCCACGAUCGCAAGAAUUUUGCAGGCAUAAGCUCAUUUGACCUUCACAGUGACCCUGGGAGGUGGGGCUGUUAUUAUCCCUAUUGUGCUGACAAUGCCACUGAGUUAUCAAAUAACUUGUCCCAGGUGGCACCCGGUGAGGGGGUAGCACAGGGCUUGAGGCUGCACAGCCAGCCCCUAAAGCCCAGCUCCGGUGCUGUGUGUAUACUAAAGGCUUUUACUGAAAGCAGCUACGUCUGGUCUGAGCCCCAAGCGUGAGGGAAAAGACGGAGACGACACUGAAAAUGUGGGCAGGACCCAAGGCAGAAGUCACCUGGAGUGACAGGAGUAGACUCUCUCUGCAGGGCUGAGGACCGGUGCUGGGUCUGAUGGGCUACUACGAGACAGGAAGACCAGCAACCCCCUGUCUUGGUCCUUCCAGGAGAAGCCUGUAUGGUCACUGACCUCUGUCGCCCUCCCCUCCCUGACAGGAACAGACAAACUUCCCCCUCUGGCCUGAGACACAGUAACUCUAAGCCACCUGUAGCAGCCUGGACCCCACCACAGAACUCUGCAGGUAGCCCUUCCAGAAAGCGCAGGCUGCCCGGAAUUCUUACAGCAGCGACCGUGUUCUUUUUAAAACUGACAGAACUUCCCAAGUUCGGAAGCUCCUAGGGAAUUAGCUGGUCGCACAUCAAACCCAUCGGGGAGCUUUUAAAAAUGAAGGUGCACGAGAACAGACGUUUUACCAAAGAAGAUACGCGGGUGGCAGGUAAACACAUGAAACAAUAAUGGUCAACAACAUGGGCCGUCAGUGAGAUGCACCCCAAAACCACAGUGAGCUCUCACCCCGUAGCUAUUAGAGUGGCUGAUGUAAAAAAAAAAAAAAAAAAAAAAAAAAAAAAUAGUAGCAGCAUGAGACGCUGGCAGGGAUGCGGAGAAACCGGACCGCUGCUGCCUCGCUGUUGGGAAUGUAAGACGGUCCAGCUGCUCCGGAAGACAGUUUGGCGGUUUCCUUUCAGAGUAAAUGCACGCUUCUCGUAUGACCUAGCUAUUGCACUCUUGGGCAUUUAUUCCAGAGAAAUGAAGACUUAUGGUCACACAACAUCCUGUAUCAGAAUGGUCAUCGUGGUUCUAUUCAGAACAGCCCCCAAACUGGAAGGUGCCCAGAUGCCCUUCGGGGGGCGAAUGGAUACUAAACUGGUGCAUCUGUGCCGUGGCGCACGUAUUCCGCAGCCGUCAAGAGGAAGGAAGUAAUGAUGAACCUCCAGGGACACUGAGUGAAAAUCUACGAUUUCAUUUGUAUAGCAUUCCUGAAAGGGCAAAAUGGUGGAGCCCGGGGACAGACUGGUGGCUGUCGGCGGGGAGGGACUGCGGAGGACAGGUGGGCGUGGCUAUGGGGGGUAGCACCGAGAGCCUGGUGAUGGAACAGUUGUGUGAUUGAUCAUGGCGGGGGACUACCGCAAGCGACCCGGGUGUAAAAUUACAUGGAGACCCACAUGCACACACACGCAUGUGCUCAUCUGGUGGAGUCAGAAUAACCUCGGCGGAUUUACCUAUGUCAGUUUCCUGGUCUGGAUGGUGUCUGUAGUUGCACAAGGGGUUAUGGCUGGAGGAGGCUGGGGAUGGGGGUUCAUGAGACCUCCCAGGACGUUGUAUUUUACAGCUUCCUGUGAAGCUAUGGUUUUUUCAAAGGAAAGAAUUAGAACAAAGCAAAGGUGCAGAAACACACCCCCAGAGGCUGUAUGACUUAAUUGGUCCGUCUUAGGGCCCAGGCAUCCGUACAUCAGUGUUUCUCAGAGGCUCCGUUCCUGCUGUACAGCCAGGAAUAGACACACUGACCACUUCCUCAUUCAGCAGAGGGAAACUGAGGCCAGAGAGGGGAAGGGGUUUUCCCAGGGCCACAGAGCUGCUGCAGGGUGACUGAAGAGGAUGGCAUCCAGCUGCAAGCGGCCCAAGGUUUUUCCUGCUGCCCCCGGCUGGGACUGAACCAGGCAGUUUGUUUUCAUGUAAACUUUUAUUAAAAUACAGUGUACAACUUAUUGCAUUGUCACAAACAACACACUCACGUAAUCAGCACCAAGGCCCCAAAACCAAGACGAUCCAGGCCCCCUCUAGAACCCCACUCAUGAUCAAGCCCCCUGGGGCCCCCCUGGGGCCCUGCCAGUCUUGGCCCAUCCCCCAAGGGAGCCCUCCCCUGACUUCUUACAGCACACAGAGUAGUUUUUCCUGUUCCUGAACUUUGUGUAAAUAGUUGGGUGCUGUUUAGAAGCUGUGCCAGGGGAGACUGGAGCAGCCAGUUUAUUCUGAAGGAAAAGGAAGUGGCCUCCCCAGGAGCCCCAUAAAGGAGGGCUGGGGGUGGGGGUGUCCCGGGGCGGUCUUCCUUGUCCAGGGUGGCCGGAAUGGGCUAUUUAUGCCCUGAGCUAGAACUGGAGACCAGAAGAGAGGAGCUGGAGCCCUGCCUGGCUGACUGAGAGCCCUGUGUCCAUGAACCUGGUCCAGGGUCCCCCAAAGAUCCUGGGGCCCCUGAGCAGGGGGAGGUACAGCAGCACCAGUCCUCAUGUAGGACUGGUGGCAUUGAAGAAACCACCUCUCAGUUUCCCUGCAUAUAAAAUGAGGAUUUUAUAUAUGUGAAUAACACAAAUAUCUACUAAUGUAGAACCAAUGUGAAUGUAACACAUUAAUAUUUCACUUCUAUACUGUUGGUGUUAGACAUUAAUAUAUUCUAUAUCGUAUGUUACAUAAGACAUAUUGAGUAAUAUGCAAAUCUUUUGAAUCCUAUCUAUACUAAUGAUAGCUGGCGUUUAUGGAAUGCUGAUUCUGUAUCUGGCAUUGUCUUAAGUGCUUUAAAUGUAUAAACCAAUAGGGUAGCUGGGUGGCUUGGUCAGUUAAGCAUCCA